This 788-nucleotide ribosomal RNA is filed under the name uncultured marine bacterium. Its description in RNAcentral is "bacterial SSU rRNA". It matches the Rfam family "Bacterial small subunit ribosomal RNA", at positions 56 to 863 of the family's 1533-position model. The record is from RNAcentral.
UGCAGUCGGACGGUAACAGCAGAGCUUGCUCUGGCUGACGAGUGGCGGACGGGUGCGUAACGCGUGGGAAUUUACCUUGUAGUGGGGGAUAGCCCGGAGAAAUCCGGAUUAACACCGCAUAAUCUCUACGGAGGAAAAGGGGCCUCUUCUUGAAAGCUCCUGCUAUUAGAUGAGCCCGCGCUGGAUUAGCUUGUUGGUAGGGUAAUGGCCUACCAAGGCGACGAUCAAUAGCUGAUCUGAGAGGAUGAUCAGCCACAUUGGGACUGAGACACGGCCCAAACUCCUACGGGAGGCAGCAGUGGGGAAUCUUGCACAAUGGGGGAAACCCUGAUGCAGCGAUGCCGCGUGAGUGAAGAAGGCCCUUGGGUUGUAAAGCUCUUUCGUCGGGGAAGAAAAUGACUGUACCCGAAUAAGAAGGUCCGGCUAACUUCGUGCCAGCAGCCGCGGUAAUACGAGGGGACCUAGCGUAGUUCGGAAUUACUGGGCUUAAAGAGCUCGUGGGUGGUUAGAAAAGUUGGUGGUGAAAUCCCAAGGCUUAACCUUGGAACUGCCGCCAAAACUUUUUGACUAGAGUAUGAUAGAGGAAAGUGGAAUUUCUAGUGUAGAGGUGAAAUUCGUAGAUAUUAGAAAGAACACCGAUUGCGAAGGCAACUUUCUGGAUCAUUACUGACACUGAGGAGCGAAAGCAUGGGUAGCGAAGAGGAUUAGAUACCCUCGUAGUCCAUGCCGUAAACGAUGUGUGCUAGACGUUGGAAAUUUAGUUUUCAGUGUCGCAGCAAAAGCGUUAA